GGGUCGUUAGCUCAGUUGGUAGAGCAGUUGACUUUUAAUCAAUUGGUCGCAGGUUCGAAUC
Molecule: transfer RNA, 61 nt
Filed under: Escherichia coli
Lineage: Bacteria; Pseudomonadati; Pseudomonadota; Gammaproteobacteria; Enterobacterales; Enterobacteriaceae
Also listed under: 1 other name
Description: tRNA-Lys
Rfam family: tRNA
About the family: Transfer RNA (tRNA) molecules are approximately 80 nucleotides in length.
Source: RNAcentral